RNAcentral lists this ribosomal RNA (491 nucleotides) under uncultured bacterium. RNAcentral's name for it is "partial 16S ribosomal RNA". It matches the Rfam family "Bacterial small subunit ribosomal RNA", at positions 29 to 506 of the family's 1533-position model. The record is from RNAcentral.
AGUGAACGCUGGCGGUAGGCCUAACACAUGCAAGUCGAACGGCAGCACAGUAAGAGCUUGCUCUUACGGGUGGCGAGUGGCGGACGGGUGAGGAAUACAUCGGAAUCUACUUUUUCGUGGGGGAUAACGUAGGGAAACUUACGCUAAUACCGCAUACGACCUACGGGUGAAAGCAGGGGAUCUUCGGACCUUGCGCGAUUGAAUGAGCCGAUGUCGGAUUAGCUAGUUGGCGGGGUAAAGGCCCACCAAGGCGACGAUCCGUAGCUGGUCUGAGAGGAGGAUCAGCCACACUGGAACUGAGACACGGUCCAGGCUCCUACGGGAGGCAGCAGUGGGGAAUGUUGGACAAAGGGCGCAAGCCUGAUCCAGCCAUGCCGCGUGGGUGAAGAAGGCCUUCGGGUUGUAAAGCCCUUUUGUUGGGAAAGAAAAGCAGCAGGUUAAAACCCCGCUGUUCUGACGGUACCCAAAGAAUAAGCACCGGCAAACUUCGU